This 122-nucleotide transfer RNA is filed under the name Habropoda laboriosa. It matches the Rfam family "tRNA". From Rfam's summary of the family: Transfer RNA (tRNA) molecules are approximately 80 nucleotides in length. Lineage: Eukaryota; Metazoa; Arthropoda; Insecta; Hymenoptera; Apidae. The record is from Rfam by way of RNAcentral.
GUCAGGAUGGCCGAGCGGUCUAAGGCGCCAGACUCAAGGUGAAUUACCUUGCCCGUUCGAACGGGUUAAAAUGGGGCUUCUGGUCCUCUCUGAGGGCGUGGGUUCGAAUCCCACUUCUGACA